Molecule: transfer RNA, 63 nt
Filed under: Dagualachesilla anchicayaensis
Lineage: Eukaryota; Metazoa; Arthropoda; Insecta; Psocodea; Sphaeropsocidae
Description: tRNA-Gly
Source: RNAcentral
AUUUAUUUAGUAUAAUAAAGUACAUUUGAUUUCCAAUCUUAGAGUCUUUUCAAAGAAUAAAUA